This 396-nucleotide ribosomal RNA is filed under the name uncultured bacterium. RNAcentral describes it as "partial 16S ribosomal RNA". It matches the Rfam family "Bacterial small subunit ribosomal RNA", at positions 523 to 918 of the family's 1533-position model. The record is from RNAcentral.
AUACGUAGGGGACAAGCGUUAUCCGGAUUUACUGGGUGUAAAGGGAGCGUAGGCGGCAAAGCAAGUCAGAAGUGAAAGCCCGCGGCUCAACUGCGGGACUGCUUUUGAAACUGUUUAGCUAGAGUACUGGAGGGGCCAGCGGAAUUCCUGGUGUAGCGGUGAAAUGCGUAGAUAUCAGGAAGAACACCGGAGGCGAAGGCGGCUUGCUGGACAGAUACUGACGCUGAGGCUCGAAGGCGUGGGGAGCAAACAGGAUUAGAUACCCUGGUAGUCCACGCGGUAAACGAUGAAUGCUAGAUAUUGGCUUCCAUAGGGAGUCGGUGUCGCAGUUAACGCAAUAAGCAUUCCACCUGGGGAGUACGUUCGCAAGAAUGAAACUCAAAGGAAUUGACGGGG